This 403-nucleotide ribosomal RNA is filed under the name uncultured bacterium. Its description in RNAcentral is "partial 16S ribosomal RNA". It matches the Rfam family "Bacterial small subunit ribosomal RNA", at positions 28 to 526 of the family's 1533-position model. The record is from RNAcentral.
GACGAACGCUGGCGGCGUGCCUAAUACAUGCAAGUCGAACGCAGUGGGGACGGUUGAGUAACACGUGGGUAACCUCCCAUCAGAGGGGAUAACACUUGGAAACAGGUGCUAAACCGAUACUGAUGGAUGGACCCGCGGUGCAUUAGCUAGUUGGUGAGGUAACGGCGCACCAAGGCCACGAUGCAUAGCCGAGCUGAGAGGUAGAUCGGCCAAACUGGAACUGAGACACGGCCCAGACUCCUACGGGAGGCAGCAGUAGGGAAUAUGCGGCAAUGGACGAAAGUCUGACCGAGCAACGCCGCGUGAGUGAAGAAGGUUUUCGGGUCGUAAAACACUGUUGUCAGAGAAGCGGUAUCUAACCAGAAAGCCACGGCUAACUACGUGCCAGCAGCCGCGGUAAUUC